AUGUGCAUGUGCAUAAGAUUUUUUAAAAAUCCACCACUGUCUCAGAACUCAGUUUUAACCUUGAAGAAGGAAACCAUGUGUUUUCAAGGAUUCAUAGAUAAUGCAUUAAGGCGUGAGACUCGCAUAGUAACCGUUAUUGUUUGUGGGACAAAUAAGCAUAUUAUGAUGGACCAGAGGCUUUUAGAUAUGUCCACAUUAAUUGUGAUUAUAUUAAUUAUUUCUUUAAAUGUGGAAAAUGUAAUCAUACAGGAGAUAUUUGCUCUCACCUUCCCUUGGCUGAUGCCUCCACUUCCUCCAGGUGUCACUGUGAAAAGAACACAAUGCCCUUUGCCCUUGCCCAUCCCCUUACCACCACUCUCUUUCAUACUACAAAGGUCCUUCUAUGACCCCCUUUCAUGGCACCAAUAUCCAUGACUACAAUAACUUAAAAUUUUAUGUAAUAAGUUGUCUAAGAAGCAUUUCUUUUAUUAUACUCCCUCCUUCAAGAAGUAGUGAUAUCAUUUGAAAAGGUUGUUAAAUAAUUUGGGUUGUUUGUAUAGUUUUCUUAUAUAAAAACCUCAUUUUUAUUUACAGUAAAUUUAGAAAUACAUUUAAAGAUUCUAUUCACUCUCUACUCAGUAAUCCUCGAUAUUCAUAUAGAGCUUUGUAGCCGGCAAGACACUGCAUUAUCUUCCUUAAUUCCUCUGAGAUGAGUCAUAAUCUCAUUUAUUUUAUAGACAAGAGACUGAGGCUCAUAGAGGUUAAGUGACUUGCACAGGAUCAUGCAAAAUGAGGACUCUGAUCAAGCCCCAGUUUUCUUUCUCUAUCACAGCUGCCUCUCUUAAAAAUGGUCUAGUUCAGCAUACAUGUAAAUAUUUGUAAACAUUAUGUCAUUUUUCUGAACUAGUAGAUCUCACUAUUUUUAUUGUUUCAUGAUAUUGGAGCUGUAGAACAAAGUGGACAUUUGCAGAAAUUCAGUCUAUGGUCAUUUUGUAUUCCCUCUGCUUUGAAAUCUUCAUCCUUUGCUAGCAGCAACAUAUUUUUAUAACAAUAAAGAAAGAAAGCAUUUCCUAUUGUCAUCUAAAUUGUUAGCACACCUGGAGUUAUUUUUUUGUAGACUUUCUACUUAUACCAUGAAAUCACAGUACGGCUUCUUAUUUGAAUGUUUGAUCAUCUAACACCUAAUAAUCAUAAACUCAUUGGCCCUAUAAUGGAGUUUCAUCUUUCUUACUGUUUAAAAAUGGUUAGAAAUUAUUUCAUUUGUUAAACAAAAAUCAUAGUAGGGUUAAAUAAGCAUUUCACUCAGGAGAUAAAGAUUGAAAUCUGAAAAUAAGUCACUACUAACUUUAGGCCAAUAAAAAAAGUUUCAUGGAGAUGAUUUUUUUUUUCACGUUCAUUUUCUUAAGUGCAAUACAAAAGCCAGGGAGUGUCAUAUAAAACAAGCCCAAAGCACUUUUUGUACCUAAGCUAAGAAUUGCUUUUGUGGCCUUUGACAUACCAAGGGACUUUAGUAUUAUAAAGCAAGCAUAUGAAGA
This 1514-nucleotide long non-coding RNA is filed under the name Capra hircus (goat). RNAcentral's name for it is "lncRNA (ENSCHIG00010013477.1)". The record is from RNAcentral. Lineage: Eukaryota; Metazoa; Chordata; Mammalia; Artiodactyla; Bovidae.